This 1973-nucleotide long non-coding RNA is filed under the name Ananas comosus (pineapple). Its description in RNAcentral is "long non-coding RNA (ACOM_LNC015048)". The record is from RNAcentral. Lineage: Eukaryota; Viridiplantae; Streptophyta; Magnoliopsida; Poales; Bromeliaceae.
AGAGGAUUAGAGAAGAAAGAAAAUUGAGGCAAGCUUGAAGAAAAUUGAAGUAGCUUGGAGUUGAAGCUUCAUCUUUAUCUUCUCCUUCCUUGGUCUAAGUGGAAGCUUGUGUUGAGGUAAGCUUCAUGAACCUCUAAUGGUGGAUUGCUAGGGAAUAAUAUAUAUAUCCUAGAAAUGGAUUUAGAGGACUCCCUAGAUGCUAAGUAAAAGCUAUUUGCUUGAAUUAAAGGCUAAUAUGGCUAUUCUUGCAAUAGUAGCAUAUUAGGGCUUCAAAAUGGGAUUUUUGUAAAUGAGGGGUUUUGAUCUAAAUUGAGUGGUCAGAAACCUAAUUGCUAUGUCUCCGAAUGCGUAGGAAGCGACGGUUUGUCGAUUCGUCGAGCCGGUGAGAAGUUAUUAAAGAAAUAGACGUUUAGGCUUCGUAUCCGCCUGGAGGGCCAAGGCGGCGUCGGAAAAUCGUGGAAACGGAUUAGAAGCAUCGUGACAAGAAACCGAAGACCUUUAAUUUCCGGAUCGCGGAUCGGAGGUCAUUUGGUGGUCGUGCGUGGUUUGGGUCGAGCCGAGCGGCGUGCGCCGCGGGAGGCCGAUUGCGAGUGGCGACGAGCAAUCGGAACGCGAUAAAAGGUGGGGGAGUGCCAUCCCGAAGUCAUCGGGCUUCUUCCUAUGUCUUAGUACUUAUCCAUUCACAUGUAGCAUAUUGUAUACCGAUACCUUGCAUUAUAGGAUGACAAUAUAUGCAUUCCUAAUCCUUAUAUGAUGUUUAUGAUCAAUAUAGUAUUAUGAUAUGGAUAUAUGAUGUGAUGGACAUAAGGAUUAUGAGGUGACAUUGGUAAACCUAUGAUGCUAAAUGAAAGAAGAACCUAGUGUUGUGUUUAAAGACAUAGUUUACAAGUGGCAUUGAACUCAUUGUGCUAAAAACACAUAUGACUUGAGCUAGUAAUGGAUUGGUUGUUGCACUAGAAACUCUAGUAACAUUGAUCAAGUUGCAUAUUGGGAUAUUGCAUUAUAGGGUACUAGUUGGCAAUUGUUACAUGUCAUGGCAUGCUAGUGAGAGUGUAGUGUUACUUGAUUAAUACUUGUACCUAGUAUGCAUGAGAUUGGGACUUAGUGUGGUGAAACCCUAUAAGGGCAUGAUUAAUGUGGAUUAAACUUUGUUAAGUGCAUUAAUCGAUUAAGUUGCAUAUUGUAUUUAUUGCAUUUAGAUGCUAAAUGAUUGUGGUCAUUGCUCAUAUUUGCAUGCUAGUAGCUAUACAUCUUGAUGAUUGAUUCAUGAUCUAGUAUGCAUGAUGAUUAUAUGAUGAAAACCUUAUGAUAAAGACCUAGACCCUAUGUGAGAUAAUUAAUGCUUAUGUUGCUAAAGAACUAGUAUGAUGUAACUGGUGUUGAAAUGAGUCUAAAUGACGAGUGGCAUCUAGUUUAGAAAACUAUGAUGAGUGGCAUAUGAUUGUUGAUAACCUUGACAUGAGAACCUUAGUGUAGUUGAAACACUAUGAGAUUGGGUACAAGAACACCUUGAUUCCAUGAUGAGAUUACCCUUAGAGGGUAGGUUGAUGUUGUUCGUGAGUUGAUCAUGCUCACAUAGCCUGUCUGCGCUUGGUUUGGGGUCGCUCCCCACAAGCUGUGCACUCCGGAGGUUGGUCACUCGAGGGACAGUCUGUGUGCUGUCUGGACGGUCUGUGUGCUGUCCGCAGGCGGUCUCGGGAUGUAGUUCUGUGAGACUUUUCCCCUAUGAGACUUACACGUGAGAUAUGCUUGUGAACCCGUGUUCACUUUGAGAUUGGGUUACCUAUUGAGCCAUACCCAUUGUUGUUGUUCAUGAUAGCUUGCUUCCAUAGUUGUUGUUGUUGAUCAUAGUUGCCUUUGGCUUACCGGCUGAUUGGGUGGUCUAAUGAAUAGCCCUAUUGAUGAGCCUAGUGGUAUGGUAGUUAACCUUCACUAGACUUACCUUGAUAGCGAAAAUAGUCGCUUGGUAGUUG